This 4839-nucleotide long non-coding RNA is filed under the name Daucus carota (carrot). Its description in RNAcentral is "long non-coding RNA (DCAR_LNC007630)". Lineage: Eukaryota; Viridiplantae; Streptophyta; Magnoliopsida; Apiales; Apiaceae. The record is from RNAcentral.
GGUGAUAUGUUAUGUGGAAUAUGAUUGACUAUAUGUUAGAGUCAAAGCAUGCUUAUGUGUUACGUGGUAUCUGAUAAGUUUAAAGGGGUAUAUAAGUGGGUAUCGGUAUACGUGAUAUGUAUAUGCGAUAUAUUGUUUAGUGACUAUAGUAUUAUCUUAUUCUCGUAAAGGAUUUGGACGAGACGUGUACGCUCGAAGACGUCAGGAAGUCGAAAUGGUAUUGCAAAGCGAAUAAGGGAUGAAUCGAGUAAGCGAAGCGAAGAUGUACGGUAGAUAGAGUAUAGCCAGAGAUGGUCUAGAGACUAUGAGAUGCAUAGAUUGUGAAAGUGGAAAGAUGAGAUUGAGAUGUGAGACUGGAGUCAGAUUUAAGGCAAGUAUCCUAAACCUUUCUCUUGGAUAUAUUGCAAAUAUUCUGAUCCAUUCCUUUGGUAUAUGUUUCAAGUAUUCAUACCUUUCUUUUCAAUGUUCGAAAGUGCGAGUAUUCUGACCCAUUCUUUCUAAUCUUCAAGUUUCUAAAGAAUUUCCGUUUUACAAAUUAAUUCGAAGUUCAGAUUGUCAUUGAAGCAUGUGUUGCUCAGUGAUAGUUAGAGCUUUGAAUGAAUUGGGAUCUUCUUGAUUAUUCAACCCGCCAUUGUCAUGCUGGUUUAGCAGGCUAAAUUCAGUUGCUUAGCCGAUAAUGGAGGAUACUGAAUAGUUGAGGAUUUCCUGAACUGUGAUUUAUGAAAUGAUGGAUCAUGAUUUAUGAAUAGAUUAUUAUCAAAGUUUGAAUUGGAAUUAUUCUGUUGUUGAUGAUAUUUAUGAUGAUGUUCUGUUAAUUUACAUUGGCUUCUUGAAUUGAAUUAGAGAAUUGGAUUAUUGUUUUUAUAUAAACCUGUGGACCAGAUUCGUGGUCAUGUUAGGCCAAUGAGUGCCUUGGAUCCAGUGAUAGAGCAUGGCGGGGCCUGCUCGGGGUUAGUGCGGAACUGAUCAGCUGCCUAACCUUGGUUUUAAUUAAAAUGUGAUAGUCCAAUUCAAUAAUUCUUUGGAAAGAUUGAAUUUCUCAGUUUAAAUGCUGCAAGGUAUUGUAAAUCAUUCUAUACAAUACCAUGAACUCAUGAACUCAUGUUGAAUCCUUUUAUAUCUUGAACUCGUGAACUUCUAUUAUAUCAUUUCAGAACUAUCAUUGUUUAUUAUUACUUGCUGAGCAUUGUUGCUCACCCUUGCUAUUCCUUUCUAACCAUUUCAGAAAGGCUUAAAGAUGAGAUGAUUGAUUGAGAUUGUGAGUAAGGCUAAUGCUAGGCGAGGAGACAGAGUUGAGGAUCCAGUGGUCGAGGAGUGUUCAGGAAAGUUGAUGAGGUUGGUGCAAGCUGGAAUAGUUGACAGUGAUUCUUCUUAUCGAAGAUGAUCUGAUUUGGUAAGAGAUGUUGUGUAAUAAUAGUGGUAGAUUCUAAUUUCAAUACUGUAACCUGGAUGCGAUCCUGUUGCUUUUAGGGGGUUUAAAUGUUCUCUUUCGAAUCAUUUAUUAAAGUUUAAAUGUUCUCUUGAAAUUCUCCUAUUAUGGCUUUCAAGUUUGAAAUUCAGGUUUUGAAAUCAUUCGAUUUAUGUUCUCAUUCAAAUCUUUUAUUAAAUGUUUUCAGGUUUUAAAUUCUUUGAUUUCAUUAUAAAAAAAAAAAAAAAUUUAGGUUUUCGAAAGUGUUUUAAAAAGGUUUUUAUGUGGUGACGUCAGAAUCCAGGCCCCCGGAUUCCUGGACCGUCACAGUUGGUAUCAGAGCCACAGGUUAUAAGUAUUUGAAAUUAGAAUAUAGAUCAUAGUUAUAGGUUUUCUAGAGAAGAAUAUUGUGUGACCUCGUACAGAGGUAUUAUUAGACUAUUUAGAAAUAGUCUAGAGAUGUGAUAGAGGUAUAGAAUCUAGUUAGACGAUCAAGUUGAGUGUAUAAGGUUAGAGAGAUUUUGAUUCCUAAGUUAGACAUAUGAUUUCUAGUAUGUUGACUCAUUGAGAUGUUGAAUUGUGAGGAAGGUCAAGAUUAGACCUAGAUAGAAGAGUUUGAUAGUGAAUGAUUGAGUUAAGAAUGGUGAAGAUGCAGAGUUCAGAGUAUUCUGACUAUACUGCAUAGUUGAGAAUGGUCUAUGGUAUUGAUUUGAGAAUGAUAAAGAUGCAUGGUUCAUAGUAUGUUGACCAUGUCAGAUGUUUGGAAGAAGUAUAUUGUUUUUGUGAGAUAUUGAAGAAGGAGUGUAAGAUAUGAGUUAUGUUGGAUUAGAAGGGGGAUUUGUAGAUAGAGGUUGAUAGAUGAGAAGUGAAUGAUAAAAAGUAUGUGGAAUUGAGUGUAGUUAUUAGGGGAGAUGUCGGUGAGUAAUUUAGAACGUUAAUCCUCGACGACAACGCUUUAAGCUAAUCGGGACUUCAAACGACAUCAAGGUGGGCCCAUAACCCACAAGUUGAUGAUCCAGACAAUCGAAGAUACGCUACGUGUUGUGCUAUGGAAUUCAAAGGCAACUGGAUGAAACAUGAGAACGUGAACUAUUUGGGCCAGACUUAUUACGAACUAUAACGUCUACGAUGACAUCUUACGAGGCUAUUACGAGUCAACAUCGAUUGAUUAUCAAGAACGUUGAAAAGAAGACAUACGACGGACAAUGAUUUAUUGAAGCAGAGCGAAAAUCUGAGAAGACCUGGGCAAUACCUCUCUUCAACUAAAAGUUCUUUUGAUUCUUUUCUCAUUAGUGAGAUAUUAUCAUGAUAUCCUUUCGACCAAAGUUUCGAUAAAGGAGAUUUUCAAUUUCUCAAAUUCUAAGAUGAUAAUGAUAUUGAUUAUUGGUGUGAGUUAGUAUUGAAUCGGUGUAUGAUAAAGACGUGUUUAUGAAGAGACAGUGGAAUUCCUUGAUAUUAUUUGAUAUUCUUUGAUAUCCUUUGAUAUUCAUCCAUAUUCUUUGAUGUCCCUUAAUAUUCGUCGAUAUUCUUUGACACUCCUUGAUAUUCCUUGAUAUCUUUUUGAUAUUCCUUAAUAUAUUCCUCGAUAAUCCUUAACAUUCCUUGAUGCUCCUUGAGAUUUCUUGGAUUCUUUCCAUCUGAUUGGGAUGAACAACCCUAUGAAUAGGGGACACAAGGUAUACCUGUCUGUGUGAUAGGAGUUGGAUGGGACGCCAUCACUUGUGUGUGUUGUGAUUACAAGAAGGUUAACAACCUUUAGUAGUGUCUAAUAUGGACACGCAACAUUAAGUUCAUUUGAUCGUAUUGAUCUCCCAGUCACUCUUGUAUUCCAAUGUGACCUAUUUUGAAAAUAUCUUGUUCCUCCGAAAUUCCCAAAGAUUGAUUCUUGGGAAAUGAAGUUUGCAAUUGUGAAGGUGUUGAUUUUCCUAUUUCUUUAACUUUGAAGGUAUGCCAAAGUUGAUCAAAGGCGGAUGAGCAUGUGAUAUUAUGAAGCGUGUACCACGAUCUUAUAAAUGAUACGUUUUAGUUUCUUCGGAGGAUUCCGAGGACGGAAUCCUUAUAAGGGGGGUAGAAUGUAAUAUCCCAUAUUUUUAAAUUUAGAUUUGAUUGUUAUAAAUCUAUCUGUCUAAAUAUUAUUGUUGGCUUUAGUUGAAAAGUGAAUUGAUUAUGUGAAUAGUUUUAUAUGAUUAUACUUGUUUUGUGGAUUAAUAUGGAUUUUACAAAUAUUGCGUCCUCCUUCUUUCUCUGAUUCCGAGGACGGAAUCCCUAUAAGGAGGGUAGAUUGUAAUAACCCGGAUUUUAAAAAUAUCUUUAUUAAUAUUAUAAAUGAUUUUCUUAAAAAGUAAGGAAUAAGAUUUAAUAUUUUAUUCCAGUUUAAGGAGUUUUCAAGGUUUUAUAUUUAAACCCCGGGUUAUUGUGUUAUUGAUAAAUAAUUGUAUUUUCAAAAGUGAUUUUCAUAUAUUGUUUCGAAAAUUCUGUAUGAAUAUUAUGUGAAUAUAUGUGUGAUGUGAGUAAGUGGUAUUGGUGGAUUUGUUGGUUAAUUAAUUAUGGUUAAUUAUGAGUAUUAUAUGAUUAAUAUAUGAAUUUUUGUGAAUUUUAUAUUAUCUGGUUUAUUGCGUUAACUGCUCAUAUGUGUUCGUAUUUGAGAGAUUUCAAUUUCUAUAUGCUCAGGAGAAAAUAUAGUUUAUUUGGAUAUUUUCAUAUCGAUUUAUGGAAUGUUAGAUGAUUUUAUAAUCGAUUUACGGAUUUAAUUGCGUAUAUUUAUAUUUAUUUAUUAAUUAUUUGACUUCCGUAAAACCGUCCACUCGUAACGAGGUAGCAAAUUUUCUUCCCGGAAGUUUCAACAAAACUGACCUUUAGCCUAAUUUGAAUAUUCCGGACACUUUUCGUGUUUUGACUUUUUCGAUCCGGAGUACGGUUUUCCCCGGAGUCGGUCCGGCGGAGUUUUUCGGGUAUUUUAAUUGUUGAUAAUUAUCCAGUUUGUCUCGAUAAGCGUGAAACGAGAUAUUUUGAUUAUUAUAUUCAUCCUUAUCUUGUAAUAAUUGCAAUGGGACCCGCAGACCAAUAAUUGAGUUAAAAAGCCCCGUUUUGAUGAUUAUCUCGAAAACCAGUACCGAUUGGACCCCGCUUUAUUAAUAUAAAGCUAUUAAAUACGUAUUUUCAUGUCAUAAACGAUCCAAAGGGGUACCAAUUAUUUGUAAAUAUAAAUAGACCUUUCUAGAGCUUAUUUUCACCCGUAAAAUCAUUUCACCAGUUUCUCUGCACGAAUACCGAGAGAAACCGAGCGGUGUUCUUCGUGUUCUUCAUAAUCAAACGAAGAUUUGAAGGUGUUAUUGGAGUCAGAAUCAAGCGUGCGAAUAGUCAAAUCGAAGAUAUCGAAGAGUAGAACCCAAAUCAAUCAUCAAAAACAACAUGAGAUUCACAGGUAGGGA